GUGAACAAGAAAUACAAAACACAUGGAACAUUUUAAGUUCCAAAACUCAAACAUUUUAAAGUAAGGCUUACAAAAAAUGUCUUUAUAGUCCAUGUAUAAUGCAUAACUAUUUUUCUUCUGGCAAAGCCGAAGCAUACUUGUUGUGUGCUCAGCUGGGGUUUUCCGCUAAAAUGCCACAUUCAGGCUGAACUCUAGUGUGUGUGUUCUCGAUUAUCCCCAUAAGUUAGAUUUAAGAAAAAAUGUAUGAGAAGCUGGUGAUUAGAACAUUUGUUUUCUUCUCUGCUAGGGAUGGGACCCAGGACCUUACACAUACUAGGCACAUGCUCUACCACUGAACUAUAUCCCCAUCUGGUUUCAAGGUUUUUUGUUUGUUUGUUUGUUUUGUUUUGUUUUUGGUACCACAGAUCCAACUCGGGACCUUGUGUUUGCAAGGCAAUGGCACCACUGAGCUAAAUCCCCAGCCCUGGUUUCAAGCUUUUGUAAAGCAUUCAUACUCAGGCACAGAAGAAAGGACGUGGACCCCAAAAGCCUCUCUCCCCACCCAACACACCCUUAUGCCUGUGGAUCCUUGCAGAACCUCUGCCACCUGAGCCAUCUCUCGUUACCCAGUGUCAGAAGUCCCCGCACACAAAGGACAGCUCAUCUUCUAAGGACUUAUCACAGAUAUCUGAUCUACAUUUAUGACCAAACAAAAAGAAUAAGUCUGGAUCUGAAUGUGGACUGUAAAAAGGUGACUUGUCAAUCACACCAUUGUUUUCUGCUGAAGCUAGCAGGCUGCCUGGGCUGCACAUUCCUGGGACGUGAAUAAUAUCAGUUGUGAUUACACUUCAGUAUCUCAUCCAUCACCAGCCCCAUGAAUACUGAAUAUAACCUAAUUAGGAAAUAAAUGUGAAGGGCCCUUUGCUGAGAAUGAACGCUGGGGGAACACAGCCUCUCCCUGACACGGGUGAGGCUUGCUGAGAGUCACACGCUGGUGUGGGUCCUCUGGGAUACAAGAGCAGACCUCACCAGUGCGGUCCACAUUCCUCACCUAAUCACCAGGAAGCCAAGAAGAGGACACCAUGCAUGCCACCCUGUAUUACUCUUGUUCAAUGCAUUGAGAAAGAGCUAUGUUAGGACUGAUAGUCAAUUCCAAAUAGUUAUGACAGUAUCAUUGAAGUAGUUAACUCCCCCA
This 1174-nucleotide long non-coding RNA is filed under the name Fukomys damarensis (Damara mole-rat). RNAcentral describes it as "lncRNA (ENSFDAG00000028513.1)". The record is from RNAcentral. Lineage: Eukaryota; Metazoa; Chordata; Mammalia; Rodentia; Bathyergidae.